Molecule: ribosomal RNA, 493 nt
Filed under: uncultured bacterium
Lineage: Bacteria
Description: partial 16S ribosomal RNA
Rfam family: Bacterial small subunit ribosomal RNA
Source: RNAcentral
AGUGAACGCUGGCGGUAGGCCUAACACAUGCAAGUCGAACGGCAGCACAGUAAGAGCUUGCUCUUACGGGUGGCGAGUGGCGGACGGGUGAGGAAUACAUCGGAAUCUACUUUUUCGUGGGGGAUAACGUAGGGAAACUUACGCUAAUACCGCAUACGACCUACGGGUGAAAGCAGGGGAUCUUCGGACCUUGCGCGAUUGAAUGAGCCGAUGUCGGAUUAGCUAGUUGGCGGGGUAAAGGCCCACCAAGGCGACGAUCCGUAGCUGGUCUGAGAGGAUGAUCAGCCACACUGGAACUGAGACACGGUCCAGACUCCUACGGGAGGCAGCAGUGGGGAAUAUUGGACAAUGGGCGCAAGCCUGAUCCAGCCAUACCGCGUGGGUGAAGAAGGCCUUCGGGUUGUAAAGCCCUUUUGUUGGGAAAGAAAAGCGGCAGGUUAAUACCCCGCUGUUCUGACGGUACCCAAAGAAUAAGCACCGGCUAACUUCGUGC